GACGAACGCNGGCGGCGUGCCUAAUACAUGCAAGUAGAACGCUGAAGGGAGAGCUUGCUCUUCUGGAUGAGUUGCGAACGGGUGAGUAACGCGUAGGUAACCUGCCUGGUAGCGGGGGAUAACUAUUGGAAACGAUAGCUAAUACCGCAUAACAUUGACUAUUGCAUGAUAGUUAAUUGAAAGGUGCAAAUGCACCACUACCAGAUGGACCUGCGUUGUAUUAGCUAGUUGGUGGGGUAACGGCUCACCAAGGCGACGAUACAUAGCCGACCUGAGAGGGUGAUCGGCCACACUGGGACUGAGACACGGCCCAGACUCCUACGGGAGGCAGCAGUAGGGAAUCUUCGGCAAUGGACGGAAGUCUGACCGAGCAACGCCGCGUGAGUGAAGAAGGUUUUCGGAUCGUAAAGCUCUGUUGUAAGAGAAGAACGAGUGUGAGAGNGGAAAANUCACAC
This 455-nucleotide ribosomal RNA is filed under the name uncultured bacterium. RNAcentral's name for it is "bacterial SSU rRNA". It matches the Rfam family "Bacterial small subunit ribosomal RNA", at positions 28 to 469 of the family's 1533-position model. The record is from RNAcentral.